CAGUCGCCGCGGUAAUACGUAGGGUGCAAGCGUUAAUCGGAAUUACUGGGCGUAAAGCGUGCGCAGGCGGUUUGUUAAGACAGAUGUGAAAUCCCCGGGCUUAACCUGGGAACUGCAUUUGUGACUGGCAAGCUAGAGUCUGGCAGAGGGGGGUGGAAUUCCGCGUGUAGCAGUGAAAUGCGUAGAUAUGCGGAGGAACACCGAUGGCGAAGGCAGCCCCCUGGGCCAACACUGACGCUCAUGCACGAAAGCGUGGGGAGCAAACAGGAUUAGAGACCCCCGUAGUCCCUGUCUCUUAUAC
Molecule: ribosomal RNA, 301 nt
Filed under: uncultured bacterium
Lineage: Bacteria
Description: partial 16S ribosomal RNA
Rfam family: Bacterial small subunit ribosomal RNA
Source: RNAcentral